RNAcentral lists this ribosomal RNA (444 nucleotides) under uncultured bacterium. RNAcentral describes it as "partial 16S ribosomal RNA". It matches the Rfam family "Bacterial small subunit ribosomal RNA", at positions 338 to 795 of the family's 1533-position model. The record is from RNAcentral.
CCUACGGGUGGCAGCAGUGGGGAAUAUUGGGCAAUGGAGGCAACUCUGACCCAGCAACGCAGCGUGAAUGAUGACGGUCUUCGGAUUGUAAAGUUCUUUUCUAAGGGAAGAAGAAAGUGACGGUACCGUACUAAUAAGCAUCGGCUAACUCCGUGCCAGCAGCCGCGGUAAUACGGGGGAUGCAAGCGUUAUCCGGAUGUAUUGGGUUUAAAGGGUGCGUAGGCUGUGAGGUAAGUCAGCGGUGAAAUGCCCCCGCUCAACGGGGUGAAGUGCCAUUGAUACUGCCUUGCUGGAAUGCGGAUGCCGUGGGAGGAAUGUGUGGUGUAGCGGUGAAAUGCAUAGAUAUCACACAGAACACCGAUUGCGAAGGAAUCUCACGAAUCCGCGAUUGACGCUGAUGCACGAAAGCGUGGGUAUCAAACAGGAUUAGAUACCCGAGUAGUC